RNAcentral lists this long non-coding RNA (1826 nucleotides) under Homo sapiens (human). Its description in RNAcentral is "HSALNT0113832". Lineage: Eukaryota; Metazoa; Chordata; Mammalia; Primates; Hominidae. The record is from RNAcentral.
AAAUUUAAUCUCAAAUUAGCCCCUAUGGAGUAAAAGUCUGUGUAAACAGAUGGACUUUGCACCUUGCCGCAAAGGUCAGCUGACGACAGCACUGUGAGUUUGGCAGCAAAUCCCUUAGUCAGAGAAGGACCUUCCCAUAAGAAAAACUUCGUCUUUAUUUCAGUUCUCGUGACAUGAAUGAGACUUGGCUUCCAUCACAAACUUGGCAGUCAGCGAGGCUUCCAGAGGAUUCUAUUAGCAAUGAUGAUGAUGAUGGUUGAGAUGGUGCAAAGCCCUUUAUACUUUUCUGAGGCUCUUUCACAUGCCUUGUGAAAAAUUCUCACCAUUUAACCUUAAAACACCAUCAGAUAAGAAAUGUAUAUAUGCAAAGUAUUUUUUUUUCCAGGAAAAGAAAAUAGAUGUAAUUCAAUCUGGGUUCUUAAAUUUUUCAGAUCUAAAUGAACUUUAAAAUAUGCUUGGAUAUAUCUCUGAGGAAUAUAACCUUAACAUUUUUCAGUGUUCAACCUAGACUAAUAAUAAUAUCAGCAACUCUGGUUUGGGGAUCACAGAACUCACAAACCAUUCACAUCUGGCACAUUUCAUACCCCUUUCCUGAUUCUACUGUAAGAACAGUCAACAGGAAAUAUGUUCACCGUAAAUGACUGUGAGGCAGUGAUGCAUGCUGCAGCUUCAUUCUUCUGGGAGAGUCUGAGUUUCCACCAUAAGAAAAGUCAGAGAUGUAGUUAUUUCCUGUCUUCCUCUUCACUGAAUCCUUGGACAGUACCCAUUUUAUGUUCUUAAGUGAAAAUGCUUUCUUCACUGUGUGUCUGAAAGUGUACGAACUAUUGUUGGAGUGUCAUAUGGGCAUCUCUCUCAUCUCCCAGAUCGAUGGCAUCGUCUAGGACUUCCCACAUAGACAAGAUAAACGAAAGGCUUCCAUGGACAGCUUGAGCCCUGAGGGCGGUGCCGAGCUGACAGCCUGGAACAUUGACCAACGCGCUGCAACUGACGUGUAAAUCACCCUCCGACUAGGGGUCCCGAAUCUGGAAAAGGAAAUGUCAUCUUUGGACUUUGCCCAUCAUGUGUUUAUGCACGAACAGUCCUUUCAAGUGCCUCUCUCCACCUUUGCAGACAAGUGGCAUAAUGCAGGUAGAGAUCACAUUUUUGGAGUUUAUUCCUAAGACUGGCUGUUAGUUUUUAUAAACAUUCCUUUUAUCUGAAAUUUAACCAUAAUUUUUUUUUCUUAAAAUGCCAUAUCUUCCUAUAUUUAGAGGGCAGGAUGCCAAGUCCAUAUCUACUCAAUAUAUCAAAUAUUUUCAGUAAGCCAGGAAUUAGAGCUUCCUUUUGUAAUCAACAAAACUCCUGGUAACUUCAUCUUUACUAACAGCCUCAUCCUUUCCUGCCAUUUCUUUGUUUGUUUGUUUAAUAAUUUGGUAGUACUGCUGUUGCCUUGCUUCCUGGCACCACUAGCCUGUCUGGGCAUGAUCUUUCUUUCCCCUCUUCCAAUUACUGGCCUCUGUUUGCCUCAAAGAGCCCACUUCUUAGGCACCACCUUCCCAACCCCUCUAAGCCACUGCUUACUUGGAUUGUGAGCUGUCGGCCCUUGUUCCCGGCUUCUGAUAUCACACCUGCUGGCCAGGCUGAAAUUCCUCCCUGCAUCCUCUGCAGCUGCCACUCUCAGAGCCAUUCCUCCUAGAUCCCACAUGUGCAUUCCAGGGCCUCUCAGUUGGCAUCUUCGCCAUGCAGGCAAUUUGGUCAAGUCAUUGUAGCAUCCUGAGACAUUCACUCUAUCCAUAUAAUUUAUGCAUUGGCCAUUUCUUGUCCUUUGAGAAAUACCACUGAUUGUC